This 590-nucleotide long non-coding RNA is filed under the name Callithrix jacchus (white-tufted-ear marmoset). Its description in RNAcentral is "lncRNA (ENSCJAG00000076714.1)". The record is from RNAcentral. Lineage: Eukaryota; Metazoa; Chordata; Mammalia; Primates; Cebidae.
UGGAAAAAAUAAAAUAAAAAGAAAAAUAGUGUAUAGGUUAGUGAAGAGUAUUGUACAAAUAGCUAAUAGUAUUAUACCAAAUAUUCAUUCUUAGAUUUGACAUAUGUACCAUGGCUUUAUAAAAUGAUAGCAACAGGUAAAAGGUAUAUGAUGACCUGCUAUAGUAUCUUCGCAGCUUUUCUGCAAAAAUAAAGUUAUUGUAAAAAAAAAAUUCAAAAAAUGAUGAAAUCAUUUUUAUAAAUUUCUCUUCUUCCCAAGCUUAACUUCAAACUACACAGAGAAAAUGAUUCUGAGAUGACAGUUUUAGUUAACCAAGUUGAUAAAGAAUGAAGACCACAAUCAUAGUACCGAAGGUUGACAACAAUUUAUUUUUUAUUUGAUGAUAUUGAUGAUUCUCAUAUUCUAAAAGUUUGGGAGAAAAUUACGGUGAAUUUUUGCAAGAAUUCAGAGAAUCAGAGGCCUGAAGGGCCAGGAGAGAGAAAAGAGGCAAGAUUUUUUAUUGGGACAUGGAUGAAUCUGGAGAACAUCAUUCUCAGCAAACUGACACAAGAACAGAAAAUGAAACACCGCAUAUUCUCACUCAUAGGUGG